AGGAACAUGGGGGAGCUGAUCCCACAGGAACAUGGGGGAGCUGAUCCCACAGAUAGGGCCGAGGAGAAACCCCACAAGUAGGAGGGGAACAGAUCCCUCAGACCCCACAGGAAAGGUCUCCUCAGCUGAUCCAGCAGAAGGGGUGAGGAGCAGAUCCUACAAAUCCCACAGGAUGGGUGGGGAGCUGAUCCUACAGGCAGAAGGGGAGCUGAUCCCACAGAUCCUACAGGAAAAAAGAGGAGCUGACCCCACAGACCCCCCCACAGGUAUGAGGGCAGCUGACCCCACAGAUCCCACAGGAGGGAUGAAGAGCUGAACCUACAGGUAUAAGGGGAGCUGACCCCACAGGAAGGGUGAGGACCUGACCCCACAGACCCUACAGGAGGAGGAGCUGAUCCUACAGGCAGAAGGAGAGCAGAUCCCACAGAUCCUACAGGAAAAAGAGGAACUGAGCCCACAGACCCCACAGAUAUGAGGG
RNAcentral lists this long non-coding RNA (478 nucleotides) under Zonotrichia albicollis (white-throated sparrow). RNAcentral's name for it is "lncRNA (ENSZALG00000002753.1)". Lineage: Eukaryota; Metazoa; Chordata; Aves; Passeriformes; Passerellidae. The record is from RNAcentral.